Molecule: non-coding RNA, 999 nt
Organism: Phascolarctos cinereus (koala)
Lineage: Eukaryota; Metazoa; Chordata; Mammalia; Diprotodontia; Phascolarctidae
Source: RefSeq, a predicted model, not a curated record
GAAGAGCGCGCCCCCGCUCCCACUUCCUCGCCCCUACGCGCCGGCGCGGGAGAUCGCAGAGGCCCGCCCCAUCCUCUCCUUUCCUGUGAGGAGGAAGGGCCGGCGCUGGACGCUCAGGCGCAUGCGUCACCCCUGCUCCAGCCCCCGCGUCCGAGGAGGGGGCCCCGAAGGCCUAGGGAGAAGAUUCGAGGCGGGUGUUAAUCCGCUGGGUCCUAGCGCUACGGCUGAGAGACGGGCCGGGGCCGGGGCCGGGGGCCGGCAGGCCAACCUCCUCCAGUUCGGUUUUUAUUUCUGAGGGGAAGUAAAUUGCCCAAGGCUACACACCAGUCUGGUGACAUUUGAACCCGGAGCCUCAGUUUCCAGAGGCAGGACUCCUUCCACCCUGCCAUAACUUGAGGAGAUUUCUGAGGGGAAAAGCGCCUGUCCCUAAAGCGCUUCGGGGUUCACGAAGCACUUUCUUCCCGGCUUCCUCGUGCGGAGGUGGGGCUCGCGUGGGGGAGGGGCGUCGUGUUUCCUCCUCCCUCACCUGGAGGCGGCCUGGGGCCGAAGCCGCAGCGUGAGGUGUAGACGCCGCCUCUGCUAUAAGAAGUGUAGCUAUCCUAGAUGUAAUGGGCCGUGCGUGUGCCCGCCUCGCGCGCUUGCCCAGGCCCUGGCCGCCGGCCUCAGCCCCGGCGUUCCCUGAGGCAGCUGCUUUAAAGUUUCCUUAGAGGCGUGGAUUCGAGAGCUGCUGGGACCUUAGAGGUCAUUUAGCCCCCUUCCCCCAUCUUACCAAGAGACAGGCCCGGAGAACUUCCCCGGCAGCAGCAACUAAAGUCCCAGCAACCCCUCCCUUGGUUUUCAGAGGGCACCCAAGGUGGAGAGGUUUACAGCAGUGUAGUAUGACAAAGCCCUCACGCUACCAUCUGACACAAUGGAAGGUCGUUAUGAAAUGUUUUGGAAAUUACAGGGCAAAAUUUGUCUCUGCUUCCCGUGAUACACUCUGUAGGAUAAUUGUUCCUG